RNAcentral lists this long non-coding RNA (641 nucleotides) under Malus domestica (apple). RNAcentral's name for it is "long non-coding RNA (MDOM_LNC014099)". The record is from RNAcentral. Lineage: Eukaryota; Viridiplantae; Streptophyta; Magnoliopsida; Rosales; Rosaceae.
CUAACUACUUUAACCAAAAUACUAACUACCUAACUAUAUUACUAACUGUAUUACAUUUGUACCCUUAAUACUCCCCCUCAAUCUCAACUGGGGUAUCCCAGUGUGAGAUUGCAACAGAUUCUCAAAUAGCAAACAUCGAAAUAUGGAUAAAUGGUUCAGUUUCUUCUCAACUGCAGUCUCCCACUAUGGUUGCCACAACUGACAGUUCAAAGUUCUUCUGAAUUGGUCUGGCCCUAACUUUUGCAGACUUCCAAAACAACAGAUGUAAGACAGCAUCAUUAUGUUUACAUAUGUCAUCAAUAAAUCUCUGAUCUGCACAUAGUUUUCCAUCAUACACAACUUCUUGUUCUUCUAGAUCAACAAACUCUUGACUUUUAACAAACACAACACAGCAAACUCUACAAUCCUUCAAGCUUCAAGCUUUCAGCAAUGGAGAACAAAUGAAUACACACCUCAGAUUCAUUUUAAGCCGGCAAAGAACAACCCCCUGCAAACCAAGCCUUUCAACAGCUACAACUCUAAUAAACUAAUCUUUACAGAAAACAUGGCUUCAUGCCCACAAACUUCAAUCAACUAAUCUAUACAAAAAACAUGGCUUCGUGCCGCAAACUUCAAUCAACUAAUCUAUACAGAAAACAUGG